Molecule: long non-coding RNA, 298 nt
Organism: Nematostella vectensis (starlet sea anemone)
Lineage: Eukaryota; Metazoa; Cnidaria; Anthozoa; Actiniaria; Edwardsiidae
Exons: 2
Source: RefSeq, a predicted model, not a curated record
GGGAUCAUUUCGGGUCCUGUACAAAUGUUCCAUACAUUUAUGAUAAAUGAGGCCUUUUUCGUUUCAUGGCAGGAUGGAGGUUGCAUUGUGAUAUACACGCAUUAUACAAUAUUAAUAUGAAUAUUAUUUUUUUAACAAAUACGUCUUUUUUCUUUUCAUGCCAAUAUUAACUUACUAUUCAUUUCAAGUACCAGCGACCAAGCCUCCGAUGACGACAGAAAGCGCUACCUCAACAGAACUGGUGACCCAGCUUCCAACCGCAACGGAGAGAGUCACUUUGGCAGGUAAAUGACAUCAA